Molecule: ribosomal RNA, 450 nt
Filed under: uncultured bacterium
Lineage: Bacteria
Description: partial 16S ribosomal RNA
Rfam family: Bacterial small subunit ribosomal RNA
Source: RNAcentral
CCUACGGGGGGCAGCAGUAAGGAAUAUUGGUCAAUGGACGCAAGUCUGAACCAGCCAUGCCGCGUGGAGGAUGAAGGUCCUCUGGAUUGUAAACUUCUUUUAUUUGGGAAGAAACUCCCGAUUUCCAUCGGGAUUGACGGUACCAGAUGAAUAAGCACCGGCUAACUCCGUGCCAGCAGCCGCGGUAAUACGUAGGGUGCAAGCGUUAUCCGGUGUCAAGGGGUUGAAAGGGGGCAUGUAUGGGCAGGUAGAGAUCUCCGGGCUUAACCCGGAAACUGCAAUUGAUACUAUUUGUCUUGAAUACUCUGGAGGUGAGCGGAAUAUGUCAUGUAGCGGUGAAAUGCUUAGAUAUGACAUAGAACACCCAUUGCGAAGGCAGCUCACUACGGAAAUAUUGACGCUGAGGCACGAAAGCGUGGGGAUCAAACAGGAUUAGAUACCCUUGUAGUC